AGAGUUUGAUCCUGGCUCAGGAUGAACGCUGGCGGCGUGCUAAUACAUGCAAGUCGAGCGGUAAGGCUUUCACAGAUUAUUUGACCAGAAAAGUCCUAGUAAUAGGAUACUCUCUGACCUACUCACAUUGGCUAAUGAUGAGUUGUCGAAUAAUGCGUGAAAGUACCGAGCGGCGGACGGCUGAGUAACGCGUAGGAACGUACCCCAAAGUGAGGGAUAAGCACCGGAAACGGUGUCUAAUACCGCAUGUGGUCUAAGGACUAAAGUCUUCGGACGCUUUGGGAGCGGCCUGCGUAAGAUUAGCUAGUUGGUGAGGUAAUAGCUCACCAAGGCGACGAUCUUUAGCUGGUCUGAGAGGAUGAUCAGCCAGACUGGGACUGAGACACGGCCCAGACUCCUACGGGAGGCAGCAGUAGGGAAUUUUCCACAAUGGGCGAAAGCCUGAUGGAGCAACGCCGCGUGCAGGAUGAAGGCCUUCGGGUCGUAAACUGCUUUUAUGAGUGAAGAUUAUGACAGUAGCUCAAGAAUAAGGGUCGGCUAACUACGUGCCAGCAGCCGCGGUCAUACGUAGGACCCAAGCGUUAUCCGGAAUCACUGGGCGUAAAGAGUUGCGUAGGUGGCUUGUAAAGCAGCGUGUGAAAGCGUACGGCUCAACCGUAUACACAUACACUGAACUCACAAGCUAGAGGAUGAGAGAGGUUAUUGGAAUUCCAAGUGUAGGAGUGAAAUCCGUAGAUAUUUGGAGGAACACCGAUGGCGUAGGCAGAUAACUGGCUCAUUUCUGACACUAAGGCACGAAAGCGUGGGGAGCAAACGGGAUUAGAUACCCUAGUAGUCC
This 838-nucleotide ribosomal RNA is filed under the name uncultured bacterium. RNAcentral describes it as "bacterial SSU rRNA". It matches the Rfam family "Bacterial small subunit ribosomal RNA", at positions 8 to 796 of the family's 1533-position model. The record is from RNAcentral.